GGAACGAGAGCAACAGAGCAAGAAAGCUUACAACAGGAGUGCAUGAGGCCUUAGAGUCACAUAGCAGGCAGCAGCGGUCCUCCAAACAGCAAAGGCAACAUGAUGCGAGCAGGAGCCAGGCAGUAUGUGGUGGCCAGGCCGCUGUACUCUGAGGAUUCAUUCAACGAGGAGCACAAGAAGGUCUACAGGCAUCACAAGACAGCCCUGGACCAUGUCAAGCAGUACUUCAGAUGUGACGCCAAACGGGCCAAGAACGCAGCUCUCUCUCUGCUGCCGAUCAUAGGCUGGAUGAAAAUCUACAGAAUCAAAGAGUGGCUGCUCAGUGACAUCGUGUCUGGUGUCAGCACAGGACUGGUGGCUGUCUUGCAAGGUCUUGCCUACUGCUUGCUGGCCUCUCUGCCUCCCUGGUAUGGACUCUUUGCUGCCUUCUUUCCAAUCAUCCCCUACUUUUUCUUGGGCACCUCUAGACACAUCUCAGUGGGUCCUUUUCCAGUCUUGUGUCUGAUGAUUGGCUCGGUGGUGACUAGACUCAUCCCAGACGAAGGGCCAGCUGCCAACAUCACAGGAUUUUCAGGUCUGACGGUAGACGAGCAGAGAGUGUUGGUGGCCUCCUCUGUGACCUUCCUCGUUGGCAUCAUGCAGCUGGCAAUGGGAAUCCUACAGGUGGGCUUCGUGGUCAUGUACCUGUCUGACACCCUGGUCUCCGGGUUCACCACAGCUGCUGCCAUCCAUAUCCUUGUGUCUCAGUUAAAGUUUGUGUUGGGGCUCCAGGUUCCUGGCAUCAGUGGACCCCUCUCCCUUAUAUAUACUCUGGAGAUUAUCUUCAAGAAGAUCACGUCCAGCAACGUGUGUGACAUUGUGAUCUCCCUUGUGAUCAUGGUGACGGUGUUUCUUGUGAAAGAGCUAAAUGACAGAUACAAAUCUAAACUGCCUGUUCCCAUCCCGAUAGAGGUUAUCAUGACUGUUAUUACUUGUGGAGUUUCUUAUGCUUUUGACUUCCGGACCAGAUAUGGCAUUGACGUUGUUGGAAAAAUUCCCCUAGGAUACGAGCCUCCAGUCGCCCCAAACCUUCAGGUCUUCCAGCACACGGCGAUGGAAGCUUUCCCAAUGGCUAUAGUGGGUUUUGCUGUGGCCUUCUCUGUGGCAAAAGUCUAUUCUAUAAAACAUGAUUACACAAUAGAUGGAAACCAGGAGCUGAUCGCCUUUGGAGUUAGCAAUAUCUUUGGAGCGUCCUUCAAGGCCUUCGCAGCAAGUACAACGCUUUCCAGGAGUGCGGUACAAGAAAGUACAGGGGGAAAAACUCAGAUCGCUGGUUUACUAUCAGCUGUUAUAGUGAUGAUUGUCACUUUGGCUAUUGGAUAUCUUCUUGAGCCUUUACCAAAGUCUGUACUGGGUGCCGUGGUCAUCAUCAACCUGAAGGGCAUGCUGAUGCAGUUCAAUGAAAUUCCUUACCUGUGGAGGAGAGACAGGCCAGAUUGUGUGGUGUGGAUGGUCACCUGCGGAGCGGCCAUCCUGCUGGGGCUGGAUCUUGGAUUGGCUGUUAGUCUUGGUGUGGAGUUGAUCUGCGUCGUCCUCCGGGUUCAGUUCCCUCGCUGCAGUGUGCUAGCCAACAUUGAGGGGACAGAAAUUUACAAAGACAGGAAGGACUACAUCUCUAUAAAUGAACCAGAGGGGGUGAAGAUUUUCAGAAUCCCGUCCCCAAUCUUCUUCGCCAACAUGGACUUCUUUAGGAACAAGCUAGUGGAAGCUCUUGGCUUCAAUCCUCUGAGAGUGUUGAAAAAAAGGAACAAAGCUCUAAGUAGAAUCCGGAAACUUCUGAAGAAAGGUGACCUCCAGUGGACAUCGAAAGGGUUCCUGAACACAACAAACGGUUCCCUGGUGGACCCGUUAGAAGACAGCGACAACGAGGAGCUGGACAAGCCCAUCGACUUCAAGGACCUUCCCAUCCGCAUCGACUGGAACGCCGAGCUUCCUGCCAACAUGGUGGUUCCCAGGGUGGACAUCCACAGCCUGGUGCUGGACUUCGCUGCUGUCUCCUUUCUGGACAUAUCUGGACUGAAGGGACUCAAAACCUUGCUGAAAGAACUGGUCCGUGUUGAAGUUGAGGUCUACAUCGUAGCUUGUGAUCCGUACAUCCUGGAGAAACUCCACAAGUGUUGCUUCUUUGAUGAGGAGGUUCAGCCCUCCAUGUUCUUCCUAACGCUGCACGACGCCAUGCUGCACAUUUUGGAGAAACAUCCAGAGACGACAGAAAGGAAAGCAGACCGGGAUAAGAUACUGACAACAGUGACGGUCCACCAUCCGAGUGGCAAUCUGAGGAGCAGAGAUAAAAAUCUGUAUGUAGGUCAAGGACGAAACACAUAAAGCACCACUCCAAAGAAAUAAAACAUGCCGUCUUCAUAAGCUCAUGCUUCGGUCUAUAUGCAGACCAUAAGCCUCACUCUGAGCUACAGGCAAAGCAGAGAAAUGUAAAAGUGAAGGAAUAAUCUGUUGGGUCCAGUGCCAGCUGCAGAGACCAAGUUCUAACCGGGACAGAAGACGAAAUCAAUAAACGAAACG
This is an RNA transcript of Poecilia latipinna (sailfin molly), 2559 nucleotides long. It is a transcript of the gene named chloride anion exchanger-like, with no coding region annotated. NCBI's taxonomy places the organism in Eukaryota, Metazoa, Chordata, Actinopteri, Cyprinodontiformes, Poeciliidae. The transcript is spliced from 22 exons. The record is from RefSeq and is a predicted model, not a curated record.